AAAAUAUUGUCAUUGGAUUUGGAUUAAUUAUGAUCUACUAGAAUAGCAUAGAAAAGAAUUGAAGUAGUGAGUGCCAACAGAGGAGAUAGCUGCAUAAACUGACAUAGUGUAAGCAUUUGGAGUUGGAGACCAAAGGUUUUAACUUUAUUCUUUUUAGGUAAAGAUUACAUGAGAGGGAAAUGAAGUAUAUAAGUUUAUGGUGGGAGACAGUGGGUUGGUUUUCAGAGGAUUAAGAAAAUAAAAUUAGGGUGGGUUUAAAGCAUACUUCUAUAUGUUAACCUGUACCUUGCAGAACAGAUGCCAAUGUGUCCAAAAAUGUAUAAUGUUAACCCACAAGAGAGGUGGCCAGACAACAUGAUGUGUGGUUAAUUGAAAAUGGAAUCUAACGGUACUGCCUUCAUGAAGUCAUAGGACUUUAGUCAGAGCAUUUACUUGUUAUAAAGACAACUCUGUAUAUGUUGCACACCCUCUGCAAAUAUUCUGACUCCUCACAAUGCAGAAGCUGGUUCCUAAAAUACCAUGUUGCAUAGUUGUGCCCUCCCUAAUU
This 547-nucleotide long non-coding RNA is filed under the name Bos taurus (domestic cattle). RNAcentral's name for it is "long non-coding RNA NONBTAT018517". Lineage: Eukaryota; Metazoa; Chordata; Mammalia; Artiodactyla; Bovidae. The record is from RNAcentral.